Molecule: ribosomal RNA, 241 nt
Filed under: uncultured bacterium
Lineage: Bacteria
Description: partial 16S ribosomal RNA
Rfam family: Bacterial small subunit ribosomal RNA
Source: RNAcentral
GAUCCUGGCUCAGGAUGAACGCUAGCUACAGGCUUAACACAUGCAAGUCGAGGGGCAGCAUGAACUUAGCUUGCUAAGUUUGAUGGCGACCGGCGCACGGGUGAGUAACACGUAUCCAACCUGCCGAUGACUCCGGGAUAGCCUUUCGAAAGAAAGAUUAAUACCCGAUGGCAUAGUUCUUCCGCAUGGUAGAACUAUUAAAGAAUUUCGGUCAUCGAUGGGGAUGCGUUCCAUUAGGUUG